This 256-nucleotide ribosomal RNA is filed under the name uncultured Scutellospora. Its description in RNAcentral is "partial 18S ribosomal RNA". It matches the Rfam family "Eukaryotic small subunit ribosomal RNA", at positions 624 to 886 of the family's 1831-position model. Lineage: Eukaryota; Fungi; Glomeromycota; Glomeromycetes; Diversisporales; Gigasporaceae. The record is from RNAcentral.
AAGCUCGUAGUGAAUUUCGGGGUUCUACCGUUGGUCGGGCUAACCAGUCUGUACUAGCGUGUAGAAUUCCUACCUUCUGGGGAACCAUCAUGUUAUUAAUUUAGCGUGGUGGGAAACCAGGACCUUUACCUUGAAAAAAUUAGAGUGUUCAAAGCAGGCUUACGUCUGAAUACAUUAGCAUGGAAUAAUAAAAUAGGACGGUGGUCCUGUUUUGUUGGUUUCUGAAUCACCGUAAUGAUUAAUAGGGAUAGUUGGG